This is a long non-coding RNA of Oncorhynchus tshawytscha (Chinook salmon), 2671 nucleotides long. The record is from Ensembl. NCBI's taxonomy places the organism in Eukaryota, Metazoa, Chordata, Actinopteri, Salmoniformes, Salmonidae.
CCAGUGCUCAAUGGGUGGCAUGUCUGGUGAGUAUGCAUGCCAUGGAAGAACUGGGACAUUUUCAGCUUUCAGGAACUGUGUACAGAUUCUUGUGACGUGGGACCGUUCAUUAUCAUGCUGAAACAUGAGGUGAUGGUGUCGGAUGAAUGGCACGACAAUGGGCCUCAGGAUCUCGUUGUGGUGUCUCUGUGCUUUCAAAUUACCAUUGAAUUCAUCAGAUGGUGCCAGAGAGAUGGUGGAUGUUUUACUUCCUCCUAACAGAUUGUGUUUUUAUGUUAGUUUUUUUUAACGUUAUUUGUAACUACAUUUUUUACUUCUUUUGUACAUAACGCUGCUGAUACCGUCUCUUAUGACCGAAUAUAACUUCUGGACAGCGAACUGGCGUCGUGGUAAGACAAGCGGUGGCGGACUAUGCAUAUAUGUAAACAACAGCUGUUGCACGAUAUCUAAGGAAGUCUCAAGGUUUUGCUUGCCUGAGGUAGAGUAUCUCAUGAUAAGCUGUUGACCACACUAUCUACCUAGAGAGUUUGCAUCUGUAUUUUUCAUAGCUGUCUACAUACCACCACAGACCGAUGCUGGCAUUAAGACCGCACUCAAUGAGCUGUAUUCCGCCAUAAGCAACCAGGAAAACGCUCAUCCAGAGGCGGCGCUCCUAGUGACCGGGGACGUUAAUGCAGGGAAACUUAAAUCUGUUUUACGAAACUUCUAUCAGCAUGUUAAAUGUGCAACCAGAGGGAUAAAAAUUACUAGCGGCGUGACCACCUUUACUCCACACACAGAGACGCAUCUCCCUCACCCUCCAUUUGGCAAAUCUACCCUCCUAAAGCAGGAAGCACCAGUGACACGAUCAAUAAAAAAGUGGUCAGAUGAAGCAGAUGCUAAGCUAAAGGACUGUUUUGCUAGCACAGACUGGAAUAUGUUCCGGGGUGGCAUUGAGGAGUACACCACAUCUGUCAUUGGCAACCAGACGCCAUGGAUUACAGGCAACAUCCGCACUGAGCUAAAUGCUAGAGCUGCUGCUUUCAAGGAGCGGGACUGUAACCCGGAAGAUCAUAAGAAAUCCCGCUAUGCCCUCCGACGAACCACCAAACAGGCCAAGCGUUAAUACAGGACUAAGAUCGAAUUGUACUACACCGGCUCCGACGCUCGUCGGAUGUGGCAGGGCUUGCAAACCAUUACAGACUACAAAGGGAAGCACAGCCGAGGGCUGCCUAGUGACUCGAGCCUACCAGAUGAGCUAUACUACUUCUACGCUUGCUUCGAGGCACAUAACCCUGAAACAUGCAUUAGAGCACCAGCUGUUUUGGAUGACUGUGUGAUCACGCUCUCCAUAGUCAAUGACCAUGCCUCAGGACUACCUGGCCUGAUGACUCCUUGCUGUCUCCAGUCCACCUGGUCAUGCUGCUACUCCAGUUUCAACUGUUCUGCCUGCAGCUAUGGAACCCUGACCUAUUCACUGGACGUGCUACCUUGUCCCGGACCUGCUAUUUUGGACUCCCUCUCUACCGCACCUGCUGUCUCUAACUCUGAAUGAUCUGCUAUGAAAAGCCAACUGACAUUUACUUCUGAGUUGCUGACCUGUUGCACCCUCUACAACCACUGUGAUUAUUAUUAUCUGACCCUGCUGGUCAUCUAUGAACGUUUGAACAUCUUGGCCACGGUUAUAAUCUCCACCCGGCACAGCCAGAAGAGGACUGGCCACCCCUCAGAGACUGAUUCCUCUCUAGGUUUCUUCCUAGGUUUUGGCCUUUCUCGGGAGUUGUUCCUAGCCACCAUGCUUCUACAUCUGCGUUGCUUGCUGUUUGGGUUUUAGGCUGGGUUUCUGUAAAGCACUUUGUGACAUCGACUGAUGUAAAAAAACAUUUGAUUGAUUGAUUGAUCACCGGAGCCAAGCUUCCUGCCAUCGAGGACCUCUAUAACAGGCAGUGUCAGAGGAAGGCCCUAGAAAUUGUCAAAGACUCCAGCCACCCUAGUCACAAACUGUUCUCUCUGCUACCGCAUGGCAAGCGGUACCGGAGCUCCAAACCUAGGUCCAAGAGGCUUCUUAAAACAGCUUCUACCCCCAAGCUAUAAGACUCCUGAACAUCUAAUCAAAUGACUACCCAGACUUUUCGCAUUGCCCCCCCCCCCUCUUUUACGCUGCUGUUACUCCUGUUAUUAUCUAAGCAUCUACAUGUACAUAUUACCUCAAUUACCUUGACUAACCUGUACCCCUGCACAUUGACUCUGUAUUGCUAUAUAGUCUCACUAUUGUUAUUUUACUGAUGCUCUUUAAAUACUUGUUACUUUUAUUUCUUAUUCUUAUUCACAUUUUUUAUACUGCAUUGUUGGUUAAGUGCUUGAAAGUAAUCAUUUCACUGUAAGGUCUACACCUUUUGUAUUCGGCGCAUGUGACUAAUAAUGUUUGAUUUGAUAAAAUGCAAUUGUGUUAAUUUUUCUUAGCUUAUGUGUGCCCAUACCAUAACCCCACCGCCAGCAUGUGGCAAUCUGUUCACAACGUUGACAUCAGCAAACCGCUCGCCCACACGACUCCAUACACGCUGUCUGCCAUCUGCAUCUGCCCGAGCUCAUUUCUCCAGCGUGCCAGUGACCAUUGAAGAUGACACAACAGAGCAUCUGCCACACAAUGGAUGAUAGCUGUGGUCACUUGUGGAGAAUGGGGAGUAGAAAG